UUAUAGGUGGUAGAUAUAAAUAUUGUCAAAGUUCUGCAUUGUAGAUUGUAAAAAGACGUGUGUUGCUACAUAAAAUAAAUUGGGGAUGCAUUAAUACAGGAGUUUUCAAAUCUUCUGCUUGCUUCAUGUUGAUGAUCAUGUUGAGUCUAAAACAGUAAACCGGGAGGAUUUGAAGCCAGUGAAGGAUUCAGUUCAUACGGAUGUUGCUUGAUCACAAGAUGUGAAAUCAGAACCAAUUAAGCAGAUGAAUUUUGAUCUAAACAAGGUUGUUGACCCUAGUGUGAAGAAAGAUGUUGAGCCACAACUCACUAAGGAUAGGAAAUAAAACCAAUAACAAGAAACAAUGAGGAAUCACAAGUUAUUGAGUCGAGAAUCCCAGUGAUUGAGGAGGAUCAAAGAUUAUUCAGGGACGUUGAAGAGAUGAAAUCAAAAUUACAUGAACUUGAUUCGAAAUUAAGCAAGGUCAGCUUUUGUAUUAGAUUUUGCUUCAUUAACUUUCUUAAACUUGCUGCAGGCAAGGAGGACCCAAGAGAGUGGAUGGCAACCAAGAUGGUUACAGAGAGAUGAGGAUGGGUGUUAUCGUUACAUUGGUGGUUACUGGGAAACAAGGGAAAAAGGUAGUUGGGAAGGAAUACUGAUAUAUUUGGACAGAGGAGCGAUUUCCAUACCGCCAUUUUUUUUUUAGGAUCUUCUAUAAUCAAGACACUGAUACCAUCGAAAAUUGGGUUCUUACAAAUUUUCUACUCAUCAAAUAAAAACUUUAAGAUGCAAAGUUCAUGAUGAUUAACUUUAGAUAAAUAUACAGAGAGCUUGGUGUUGCACAGGGUACUGAAGGUCAGACUUUGACAUCCUUUCCAUGAUCGACGAAACAGAUUUGUAGGCUGUGGCCAUUUUUGGAAGAUCACAGAGGCUUGGUGGUUCCUGGGAUGGUUACUGGCUCACUGAGACUCUACAUCAUGAUGGAGACAGCUUCUCCGGUGGUAUGGCUUUUUGAACAACCCUCUUGAGAGAGUCGAGAUAUAUUGUGGCACAUAAUUGCUGCAAUGUGAUUACUCCUUGUCAACUCUUAACAAAGGAUGGUAUUACAAUGUUGUCUCACCUUCAGAAUUUGUAAUUUUGUACAUAAAUACGUCCAAACUGUUUUACUUGUUCUACUAAAUUAUCUUGGAAUUCCUCAAAUAAUUGUACCGCGUUUUUUUAAAUUUUUUUUUUCAGUUUUUAUAAGUGUAAUGUUACCAAGUUAUUGAAGAAAAUAUAUGUGUUUUAUGUAUAUUAUGAUUAUAUAUAAGUAUUUGGUACAAUUUAAGUGAAAAAAAUACAAAAAAAAAAAAAAAAAAAUUAAAUUUUUGUAGGGCAUUUUUAGCAUAGGUUUUGAAACAGAACCGGUACUAAAAGUUUUUUUAUUUUAUUUUUUGGGCCACUUUUCGUACCGGUACAGAGCAAGAACCGAUGCUAAAAGUUUAUUUUUCAUUUUUUGGGCCACUUUUAGCACCGGUUCACAGCAAGGACCGGUUCAAAACCAGUGCGAAAUGGGGGUUUUGAACUGGUGCCCAUUUGUA
This is a long non-coding RNA of Chenopodium quinoa (quinoa), 1559 nucleotides long. RefSeq lists it as uncharacterized. Lineage: Eukaryota; Viridiplantae; Streptophyta; Magnoliopsida; Caryophyllales; Amaranthaceae. The transcript is spliced from 3 exons. The record is from RefSeq and is a predicted model, not a curated record.